This is a long non-coding RNA of Arvicola amphibius (Eurasian water vole), 828 nucleotides long. RefSeq lists it as uncharacterized. The record is from RefSeq and is a predicted model, not a curated record. The transcript is spliced from 3 exons. Lineage: Eukaryota; Metazoa; Chordata; Mammalia; Rodentia; Cricetidae.
ACACUGCAGGUGUGCAGGUGAAGGCAAAUGCAAUUCCCGCCAAAUGCAACUCCCUGACGGGCUGGCAGAAGCCCGGUUCCCAGAUGCCCCUGGUGCUGGACUUGGAGACCUCUGGGUCAAUUUCCUGCCUACCUUCAAUGCCCCCUCUGACCAGAAGUUCUUCCCUAGCGGUAAUUUUCUCCUCGUUUUAGACUCACCCAAAGCAGUGCGGGAGCCUCCUGAUAUAUGCGCCCCCUGGGCCGGGCAGGAAGCUGGCAACUCCAGAAACAAGAGGUGGGGCUGUUCAGAAGAGCUAAUCCCGAGUGCCGAGUGCCGCGGGGCAGGCCUGACCCGAUCAGGAAUGCGCAGCAUCCGAAGCCCUGGCUAAAGAUGAAGAUGUUGCUGGGCAUGGUUGAAACAAGCCUGGGAUUUCAGCACUUAAGAGACAAACUCCUAAAGAUCAGAGGUUCAGGCCAUUCUUGGCUACAUAAUGAGUUUGAGGCCAGCCUGGGCUAAGUGAGAAUUGUUUUCAACAGCUAAACAGUAAGACAUUGUAAAGAUGGAGAUGGAGCCUGUCACUUGGAGGUCCUGCCAGAGCUACAAGAAGACAGGCGGCACAUGGUGGUGCCUACCUGCGAUACCAGUACUCGAAAGGCUGAGGACGGAGAAUUGUCAAAAGUUUAAGAUCAAUCUGGGCUACACCGCAAGACUAUUAAAGAAGGAGGACAGCUGGUACACGCCUUUAAUCCCAGCACUUGGGAAGGAGGAGGAUCUCUGUGAGUUCGAGGCCAUCCUGGUUUACAAGAACUAGUUCCAGGACAGGCUCCAAAGCUACAGAGAAACCCUGUC